This 406-nucleotide ribosomal RNA is filed under the name uncultured bacterium. RNAcentral describes it as "partial 16S ribosomal RNA". It matches the Rfam family "Bacterial small subunit ribosomal RNA", at positions 30 to 526 of the family's 1533-position model. The record is from RNAcentral.
AUUGAACGCUGGCGGCAGGCCUAACACAUGCAAGUCGAGCGAGCGGCGGACGGGUGAGUAAUGUCUGGGAAACUGCCUGAUGGAGGGGGAUAACUACUGGAAACGGUAGCUAAUACCGCAUACCAUCAGAUGUGCCCAGAUGGGAUUAGCUAGUAGGUGGGGUAACGGCUCACCUAGGCGACGAUCCCUAGCUGGUCUGUGAGGAUGCCCAGCCACACUGCAACUGGGACACGGCCCAGACGCCUGCGGUGGGCAGCAGUGGGGAAUAUUGCACAAUGGGCGCAAGCCUUAUCCAGCCAUGCCGCGUGUAUGAAGAAGGCCUUCGGAUUGUAAGGUACGUUCAGCGGGGAGGCGUUACCCGCAGAAGAAGCACCGGCUAACUCCGUGCGAGCAGCCGCGGUAAUUC